UUGAUCCUGGCUCAGGACGAACGCUGGCGGCGUGCCUAAUACAUGCAAGUCGAGCGGACCUUUCGGGGUCAGCGGCGGACGGGUGAGUAACACGUGGGCAAUCUGCCCGAUACUCUGGGAUAACGCUUGGAAACGAGUGCUAAUACCGGAUGGUCUUCUUGGCCGCAUGGCCGAAAAGGAAAAGACGCGUUCGCGUCGGUGUCGGAUGAGCCCGCGGCGCAUUAGCUAGUUGGUGAGGUAACGGCCCACCAAGGCGACGAUGCGUAGCCGACCUGAGAGGGUGACCGGCCACACUGGGACUGAGACACGGCCCAGACUCCUACGGGAGGCAGCAGUAGGGAAUCUCCCACAAUGGGCGAAAGCCUGAUGGAGCAACGCCGCGUGAGUGAUGAAGGCCUUCGGGUUGUAAAACUCUGUCAUUCGGGACGAACCGGAGUCUGAGGAAAUGCAGACUCUCUGACGGUACCGGAGGAGGAAGCCCCGGCUAACUACGUGCCAGCAGCCGCGGUAAUACGUAGGGGGCAAGCGUUGUCCGGAUUCACUGGGCGUAAAGCGCGCGCAGGCGGUGAUGUAAGUCUGAGGUGAAAACCCGAAGCUCAACUUCGGGACUGCCUUGGAUACUGCGUCACUUGAGGAUAGGAGAGGCAAGGGGAAUUCCACGUGUAGCGGUGAAAUGCGUAGAGAUGUGGAGGAACACCUGUGGCGAAGGCGCCUUGCUGGCCUAUUUCUGACGCUGAGGCGCGAAAGCGUGGGGAGCAAACAGG
This 764-nucleotide ribosomal RNA is filed under the name uncultured bacterium. RNAcentral's name for it is "bacterial SSU rRNA". It matches the Rfam family "Bacterial small subunit ribosomal RNA", at positions 13 to 776 of the family's 1533-position model. The record is from RNAcentral.